Molecule: long non-coding RNA, 980 nt
Organism: Mauremys reevesii (Reeves's turtle)
Lineage: Eukaryota; Metazoa; Chordata; Testudines; Geoemydidae
Exons: 4
Source: RefSeq, a predicted model, not a curated record
CUUGGAGUUUCCAGCAAAUUUUGCUGCAACUAUCAUUUUUAUCAUGGAAAUGUGAGGAAACAAAUCAAAAUUGCUCUGAGUUUAUUGAGGGUUUUGUGCUUUCAAAACAGUGCAUUUAAAAGAAGGGGUCAUCCAAGGAGGCAUGUAGAGCGCUCUGUGAAAACUGAGUCUGUUGAUGCCAAUUACCGGUCCGGCGGGCACCAGUUUGAGGUCGGGAUGUCUACAGUGGGUACCAUGGUGUAUGGCAACACAUAAUAUGCUGCAGGGCUCUGUGAUCAAGAUGAUGAGUGUACUCAGGCUCACAGAGGGACUUGAAAAGCAGUGCUUCCCAAACCGUGCUGGACACAGGCUCAUUCUGUACGCAUGCCACCAGCACAAUGAGUUAGUUAAUAGAAAAUCUACCGCUCCAUUGUGAUGCAAGCUGUGGUGGACCACUGCAGACAGUUCUUGGAUGUCUGCAAGGGUUGAGCCAGUAAAGGGUAUGAUGUCAGAACUUUUUAAGCCUGAUUUUUUUUAGGCAUGGACCUAAUGGCACACUCUUCUGUCCUCACAAAAUUGUGUACCUACCCCUACAGCAUAUUAGCACUUCAGGAACCAGUCCAUGAAGAUACCGUCCCCAGCAGCUUGUACCAAGACAUAGAACAAAUGAAGGAUACCGUUCCAUUGGAGUCUCUGCCCAUUUUAGAAUGAUUUGGCCAGCUGCUGGGAAAGCUCUUCCUCUAUAGGCCACCCCCAGGCCUUAAAAAACAGAGCCAAAUUCUUCUGCACCUGCGAGAAAACUUUGCUGCCUAUAGAUUCAUCUUUGAAUCAUUUUCUGCUGGGACGUGGCACAAUGCCUGGUACAAAGACAGCCAUGAAUGCAGUGAUUCAGCAUGUGCCAUCUCAUCCAUAUGAGCCACUUUUCUAUGAUGCGAUUGGCCCUUCACUGCUGCUGUACCAGCCACCUCCUCUGCAUUACCAUCCGGACAGACUCCUUGUAC